AGGGAUCUGAAACUGCCACCACAAUGUCAUCAUCAUCAAUCUGACAAAAAACGAUAGAGAUCAUCUUCACCAUCAUCAUCAAGCUUGUUGUUGUUUGUUGCGUUCGCAAGCGCUUGGGCUGCUGGUUCCGUGGCGGCAGGCUUUAAAUGUGUACGUGUACUAAGUAAUUUCUGACGCCGUAAUGUCUAAGAAAAAAAUGACGGCAGACCAUGGUCUUAUGGCAAGAGCAGCCGCUCUGGAGCAAGAGCUGCAGAAACUACGACAAGCGCCCGCGCCGAUACCAUUGGACGCCGAUUAUGACAGCCGAUUUUUGAUGGUGCACCGGGAACUGAGCGCGGGCAGAGUUCCCAACGCCAUUCCAAAAGCGCUGCUGAGAGACAAGCUCCUGCAGAGUUUGAGAAACGAACAGGAAAGCCUGGGGCGCAAUCUCGCUUACUACACCGACCGUGUUAAAGCGGCCGAGGAGGAGAUCGCCGACUUGGAGGACCACAAUAAAGCUGUUGCCGGUGCGAAGAACGGAGCGUCGCCCGUACCGAAUGACUACCGCACCGUGAAAGCGCUGAUCAGCAUGCGAAAAAAGCAAAUCUCCAAGUACCUCCACUACUUCUACCCGGAGCCACAUCAGAUUGUACACACCGCUGCGCACAACUAUCUCGCGCUGAACGAGAUUUUCGACAGGCUACUGGAUGCCAGCACCAACCCACCAGAGGCACGAUACAUCAGACUGGGCCCGGAGUUUUGGCCGCCGCAUGUACAAGUGCUUCUGAAUAUGAACUUGGUAGAGCGAGACCCUGACAGGAGUGACCAUAUCAGGCUGCAGGACUGUGGCUGAGCUUCGUUGCUAAAAGUGAAGUCACCGCAAAAAUGUUAUCGGCUUUCUAAUCCUUUGUGUCGUCAGUGUGGGAUAAUGACGCAUGCCUCAGUGGAAAUAUUAGAUGUGCUUCUUGAAAAGAAGCAUCAUGUAGGCAGUGGCUGUGAGUAUUACAAGAUUUCUUUUAGUGCCAGUUACCUUCAUCAUAGCAUAACAGAAAACCAUCAUGUUGUCAAUAGAAUUCAUUUGCUGACACUGUUGCUGAAACUUGCUUACCUAGCUUCCAGCUAAAGCGGUUGCUCAUCACACAAUCUGUCCGCUGUGUGAUGUUCUUGUGUGAUAGUUCACAAAGCUUUCACUACUUCCAAGGUUGUUGAACAUUAAAGGGGCUCUUGAACACUUUUCUAACUAAUCGUAGAUGGCCUCGCUAUUUGAGUACGUCGUCCAGUGAACCUCAUGCUGCAAAAAUUGUACUAGAAGUGGAGUUAUCGCACUGAUGCCCGGCUUUCUCUCUCAUUUUGUCUCUGCUAGCGCGCUGGAAUAUACACAGCGGAGAAGCCAAGAGGGCAGAGCCCCUGUUAAAGUUGUGUGUCGUGGCAGUGAAAGGACGUCACGACACCCUGUGGCAAGCAUGGUGGACUACGCUACGCAGCUACGCGCAGUGCAAAUAUGAAAUUAUUUUUCUGUAUUUUUGAGACCGCAGACAUUUAUUUUUCAUUUAUUUAACUCAAAAUUAGCAAUUAUGUAUUACUGAGAACGUUCUCGCGAUCACGAAAUCGGCCAGUAGCAUUGGUGGGCCAACUCCUUUCAAUAGCGACAUUGUGGAUGCAAGUUCAAGCAACUGUUCACUGCUUUUUACACGAUAUUGUAAAUUCCCUGCUGUAUGCAGUGCAAUAUUAUUCAUUUCACAUGUUCACAGGAGCCUCGUUAACAGAUCGGCAACAUUCUAUUUUACUCCGUUGAAAAAGUGCUUCAGGGACGCUUUAAACGAAACUUUAACUGAAACUAACACCUGCCUCAUUGACUUAUGGAAGAGGAAAAGUCCAACGAAGCGGAACCCAUCGUUAUGUGAACUCCUGUUAAAUGAAACUUUAGCCGAAACUUACACCUACCUCAUCAGCUUAUGGAGCAGGAAAAGCCUGACAAACAUGUCAAAUGGUGAUACUAAAAAUAGUGAAGAAAAUACAAUUCAUCCAGGCAGUUGCUGGAAGAUAAUGCAAAUUAAAUUAUAAAUGUAGAAGUUGCAACAGUGUUACCAUUAUGCGUACUUUGCUAGGCAAGUAGUAAUCCCAGAGGAGGAAGAAAGCACUACGGAGUAGGAAGGAUCUUGCAGUCAGGCUGCCACUACUGCUUCGUUCACAUCACCAGGAAUAAGAAACUAAAUCAUGCCCUCAUUACAUUGCCUGCUCUGAGGACAGCUGAAAGCAUUGUUCGUAAGGUGAGUGGCAAGGACUAUGGUCACUGUUGCAAUUUUAGCAAUUUUGUUGCUUGAUUUAGCAACUUUCUUGUCCGUUUAGCGACAAUCUUUUUCAGUUUAGCGACCAGCGACUUUGUUUAGCGACAUGACUGAACAAUUGAAGAAAUUUUAGUGACUAGAUUUUUUAGAGCUAGGAAGGUUGCUUGGAAAGUGGCCUUCUAAAACACACUUUAUUAUUGAAAAGCUACAUGUAAGCAGCCGAAACUAGCUGUACAAUGCAUAGGCUCUUUGACCAUGAUGAAGCAACAGUUGCCUUCACAUUGGUAGUCUUCACAUUGUGCUUGUGCUUUACAGCACAGUGGUCAUCACAGACUUCACAUUGUGCUCACAAAAUUGGUGUCUUCUUUUAUUCCUCACAAACUCGAUUGGAAUGGGUCUGAAUGCUGUGGGUUAAUUGUGCAGUACUGCUAAAUGCUUCCGAUUAGUGGACGUCCGUAAGUGUAGCAGUAAAUUAAUUCUGCAAGUGCCUAUUGCAACAAAUUUCAUUAAGAUUUAGAACACAGCAGGUGAAUAGGACAUUUCGACUGUAUAGAAAGGUGUAUAGAGUGGCUAAGCUUCACCUGAAUCUGAACACGUUGCUUUCAUUUCUCACGGUUUUUGCACCAAUCGGCACUUCACGGUGGCAUUCAGGUAGAUCUUUUACCUCUACAAUGGUCACGUGAUUGUCAUUGAUGUGUUAAUAACGUGUGGCCAAGCGGGUGCCACAGAAUUUACUUCUCUUAUCACGAACAUCGAGUAAUAGAAAAUUUGAGGGACAGCAUGGACCAAGUGCCUUUUCAUGCUAGGAAAGUCAGGUUACUUGUGUUUUUUUGUAUCGUGCUGUAUUUGUAACCUUGCAACCUGAAGGAUAACGCAGAAUUUAAACUGUCAUAAUCCAUUAUGUAAAUAUGUUAGUAAAGUAGGCGUCCUCUACACCCUGCAGGUAAGCUUACUGUUUAUCCAUCAACUGCAUGAACACUAGACAAACAUGAAAUGUCUAUAGGUUCAGAUGAUUUACUUCACGUUAGCUUAUAUAAUUUAUGUUCUACAAUGCCCACAUUAUUUAAAAUUCACUCGACAGUUUUAGCGACAAUUUUAGCGAACUUGUAGCAAAAUUUAGUGGAAAUUUAGCAUACUUUUUCUCGUUUUAGUAACGUGUAAAACAAAGUUUAUGCAAUACUGACUGUGAUUCUAUUGACAAGGACACAUCUAUGACUGUUCCAGUGCGUGUUGCUGUUUUGGACCAGAUGGUAAAGAUGCAGUGGAUAGAUCUUGUAGUGGAGAAGGAUACUACAGUGGCCAUACUAUAGUUUCCUACUGAAAUUACUGCAGGGAACCCUGGUGCUGUGAUGGUUCAGCUACCGUGGGAAUGAUGGAUUUGUCUGAUCUUCAUGCUUGCAACUUUAUUUGUUGUGCUAUAUUGGCAUAAAUUUCGAAGCAAUCCUAUAUUUCUGAACCCAGAAGGCAACUAGACUCUGCACACAUGCACAAUUAUUGCAUAAUGUUGAAUCUGUACAUCAAUACCUUGGUGAAAAUGGACAAUUUGCCAAGUCGCAAAGCUGUUUGAAGCUAGAACAACGAAGUUUGUGCAAAUCCAUGUACUAACCAUCAUUCCCAGCUCCCAUAGACGAUUAGUGCUAGAGUUCGCUCUAGAAAAUCUUACAGGGAACUCUCUGACAGUUUCCGAGCUGCAAUGGAGAGCUCCAUCACACAAUCUCAGGGUUACGUCAGUACAAAACCUCAGCUCAGUAAUAGAUGGAAGCACGAUGAGCAUUUUUGAGUGCAGGAAGAACAAUGUAAAAAGGAGGGGAAGGCUGCAAUGGGCAUGGCAGUGGCAGCAUUUGAUUGCCAAAAAGUCUUGAUACAAAGUGCAUUCAAAAGCUUUUGUUAGGGGGGAGUGCUCUUUAAUACCGCAUUCCACACUUCUCAUAAAAGGUGUCAUCUGUUGAAAAUUGUUCCCAUCGCCAAGCAGGGAUGGUGCUACAGGGAGACAAGGGAUGGCGUGUAUGUGUACGUGCGUGUGUGUUAGAAUUUGUGCUGCGUGUGUGUGUGUUAGAAUACUGACACGCAGUGGUGGUUUUAUUUAAUAAAUCAGAUGCUGGUUCGAUGUUUUCAGCCUAGUGACUGUGUUGAAGCAUCCUGGGCUGUUCAUGUGAAAGCGCAAGGUGGUGUCUUGGCACAGAAUGCUUGCAUGUGUGUCUUCCUGACAUGCCGCAUGAUAAUAUAUGUUCAGUUACAUCUACGUUGCAAAAUACAGUCAGUGAUGGAAGCCGCUUUUCGUGUUUUGGAGCAGAAAAAAUAGCAGUGCGGAGCAAAAAUAAACAUAGUUCGGAACAGUGACUCAUUACUCACGUGCAUGUAGCAAACUGCGCAUGCAUUUACUAUGACCCAAAUAAAUCUAUGUAUUUAAAAAAAUAUUUGCAUCUAUUAGUGCUCACAUAUUGGAAUGGUUCAAUUUAGUAAAGAACAGAAAAUGAACACAUGUAGCAAAUUCUCAAGAUAUGCAGAACAGUUUUCUUUUACACGUGAUAACAGUAUCACAGAGAAAUAUGAUUUAAUGUCACAAUAAAUAUAUCAUCAGCUUAGAAAAUGAAACAUUUAGCAUGAAACGAUUUAAUAUCACAGUGAAAUGUAUGAGCAAGCCAAUAAAUUGAAAUCAGUCCUUGUGGGCUGCACUAUAUUUUCUUUUGAUUCUUCAAGCUUAUGAAGGCUGCUUGCAAGUUUUGCCUGCCCCUGCUUCAGAAAUGAUUGUCCAAUUUCAAUAUAGUCAAACUUUUUGGCCUUUAUCCCAUUUGCAAUGAGCAGUUCAGCAUUAGCAAGCAUCUUCUUAGCAGAAUCAGUCACCAUAUGUAUAUUUCGCAGCUCAUUCGUUUUUGUUUCUAGUGGGUCUUGGGGAAGCUUGGCUUUCUUAGCUGCAGGCCCACUUUCUGCAGACACAUGCUCCUGGUACCUUUUGAAUGAGCUCUUAUAGCCUAAAUCAUGACAGGCUUCACAAGAAUGGUUGAAGCAUCUUGGCCAUAGUGAUUACAGAAUGGUCUGGUUUUACACAAGCCAGUUUAGGUUUGCGAUUGAGAGCUUGCUCCGUUUAUGAAGGAGGCAGCGAUUUUUGCUGAAUCCCUUUGCAACAUCAAAAUUGCCAUUAGCAAGAGACAGCAGGGCUUUAAUGAACUUCAUUUUUUAGGGGUACUUGGGACUACUUUCUUUUGACAUAACGGUGAAUACGUGUUGCCAAGCAUCAUCGAGCCACUCAUGUAGAUUACAGGACAAUUCUUCCGUGGAGAUUAGUGUUAUUUCAUCCAUCAGUGCUGAGACUUUCUGUGGUGGUACCACUUGAGGCACUUGUUGCACUAAAUUCCUGAGUCCUGCAAUGGAGCUCUCCUUCUUAACAGAACUUGGGUGAAGGUGCUUGAGAUCUUUCAGCACAUGAUUGUUAAAGGGCAACCUUGAAAGCAGAUAACAUGCGACCUUGAUGUAAAAGCUACGUGCGCCUAAUCUGAAAAUCUUCUCCUGAGGCGUCCAAGCAGAAAUGGAGCUUUCUGUAUCAGCUCAAAUCUCGAAUAGCUGUUUCCAGUUGGCAGAACAUUUCACAUCAAGGGAUAGUUCUUUUCAAGUGAAGUUCCUCUAUGCACCAUUCUGCAUAAGACGUCCAAGAAUUAUUUUCACUGGCAUGGUCAUUUCUUCAAACAAAAUAUAAAGCAGCAGCUAACUUCGCUGCAAUGACAAGCAUUCAGCAAAAAUGUCAGCCACAUUUCGCAGAAAGAUUGCUUUAGGCAGCAGUACCUUCCUCAUAAGGUUCUCCUUGAGGGACCUAUAAAUGAUGCCACCAGGUCGAGCUUUUUCUUCAGCAUCUAGAACCGUUGCCUUGAUUGCUUCGUGUUGUUCAAUGAGUCGCCCCAGAGCUGAACUCAUUGUCAACCAUCAAUUCACGUGACGCAAAAGAAGAUUUUCAGGCAAGCCUAAGCAUUUCGAGUUGUUUUCAGGGCAGCCCUCUGAACAGCUGAAUUCGUGUAAAAUUGAUAGAUAUCAAGCAAAGUUGACUCCACAAUGUUGCAAAAUGCUUCUAUGCCUUUGGCAAAUGCGUUUUGCACUUGGCACAAAUUGUGUUCACUCAUAUCCAGCAAGGUGCGAUUUAUGCCCUCUUUUAAAUGUUCCUUCAAACUCCACAUGACGUUGGGCCCAUCACUGUAAAAGCAAAGCAUGUUUCUUUGAGGCAAAUCUUGAAUAGCUUUUUUAGAAUGUACCAGCAGGAUAUCUGCUAUGCAGAGCCCAAGUGAAACGAGUGCAGAUGCUCAACUACAUCACGUUUUUGUGCAUAGAAAAAGUAUCUGACAAUGACAUCCAGCUGUUGGCAGCUUUGUUCUAGGAGGGGUGUUUCAUCUAUUAAAAUCGUGUAACAUAUGUGUGUGGCUUGUUACUUUCGUCUAUCACUUCUUUCCUAAAGUAGGGUCUUAAGCCAUCUGAAAUGAUGUAAGAAAGCUUCUUUCGCCCACACUGGAACUCUUUGGCGACUUUAGAGUCCGGGAACAUCAACGGCAUGAUCUGUGUGGCUGCGUUCCCGUAAGGUAUCUGACAUGGCAAGUCACAGAGCAGAAUGCGCCUCCGCUCGAGCAGCACGGUCCGCCUCAGAGUCCCGGACCAGAUGAGAAACACGACUCCAGUUGACCUUGCUUUGUAGCAAGGGGACAUAUUCUGCAACAAUCCACUUCGGCGAUACUAUCGCCUUGGCUGGCCAUCAGGUGCGCUACGUCAUCCAGUUUAGCUCAACCAGCCAAUCAGCACGCGCCUGACGGCGAUACUAUCGCCGAGGCAACACUGUCGCAGUACGGCCGCAGGCUUAAUAUCUCAGAUGAAUCCCUCUGUUGACUGCAGACUGUUGACUGCGUUUAUUCAUAGCGUGAUACUUCACAGCUGUUAUGCCGUGCUGUGAGCAGUUGAUGACUGUUGCAGAAGAUGCACAAGACUCCUUUUGAUUCCUUCUCUGCACCAACUAGAGAUGGUGUCAUCGUUGGCAUCAGUCUCGCCGAGAACUUGUACGUUAAAUUUGCUGUGACGACUUAAAAAAAAAAGGCUUACCCAGAUUAUGCAAGCUGAUAACUCAACCUCAAAGAGAUCUCUUGGCUUUAACACAUUAAUACCUAGGCAACAAUCACUAUUCAAACAAAGAUGCAUACUAUACUAAUAAGAUGACCUACUGUUAAAACCUUGUUAGUCGGAUUCCUGUUAAUUGAGAAAAUCAUACUCGCCGUCUGGUACAGGCAAUAUAAGCAGUAUUCUAGUGUAAAACUCGUGCUAUUUCGACGGCGUUUUGGUCAGUUCGGACCUCCCAGAGUGCGGCCCCAAAUUCGAGAAGAUGGUGGCGAAGAAACUAGGAAAUAACGGUGCGCGCAUCCAGACAGAGCGAACUGAUGUUUUUCCACCUCUUUCUCAGUUUUCACUUCCGCAACACUCGCACGGCGUGCCCGGAGCAUUCAAAGGACGUGCUAUGGGAGCGGGGCUUUCGUUCAGAGCAGUAGCGCUUCAGAAAAGGACGUUGAAAACAGCAACAAAAAAGUAAAAAUGCACGCAAUAUUCCAAGCUGCUUCCUAGAACUGACGUUGCUUUCGUUGGCUUUAUCAGGCGUAUAAUCGGAAGCUCGCACUAAGUUGUCAAACGCGUCCUUCAGCCGUUGCAGGCGAGCGUAUAUGCAAAUUGUCAUCAAAGUAAGAAAAUGAACAGUAAAUAGGAAAAGAUUGGCGAGCUUUAGACAAAUAGACUGGCCCAGGCUUGCGUAUCAUAUGUUUGGAUUUCCACGUGCUAUCCAUGCCUGGGCAGGAAUGAAACAACAGGCACCCGUGACGACACAUAUUAAAGGCUUACCUUUAAGCUGUGAAAGGGCCAUAGCGGUUCAAAGCCAGACAUUCAGGAGCCUGCACAAGUCGGUGAACUCAUGCGCUUCAGUGUCAUUGCGAACUUGGGACACUCCGAUGUGACCACAAAGAAGUCGAGCAUGCCGCUUGGCUUGGCGGCACGGAUACCAUACCCAGAGUUUCAGUUUCGGAACUAUUACAAUUCCGCCUGUUGUGUGGACAGGGGAGGUUUAGGCCAUUCAUGUGCGCCUUGGCGCAGGUGUAGAACAAUUUAUGCGAAAAGCAGUCAUUUGGUGCAGCAUGUAUCGGCAUUUCUAUCUCGUCGCAAAAUGGAGCAAUUGGCACAGCACUUCCAUCACUACAGAGUUGACGAUUACCACUCAUAUGUUUUGCUUUGCAUACAGUUCGCGUGCUGUCACUUUGAGAAAUGUCUCGGAACACCAUGAUUCACUGAAAGGUAUUGCAGAGACCUCAAAACAAGAAAAAAAAAAGGUGCAACAAGCAAGUGUCUCAGCUCAUUUUUGUUGUCGUCACAUUGCAGGUGCAAGAUUGUCGUUGAUCAAAAGUGCAUAGCUUUAAGUGCGUGGCAUAAUUGUCGCAAUGCUCACCCCAGAUUACAUUUAGGACCGAGAAGCUCAUGUUAAACUCGGCAAACAAUAAUGGAGAUGUGUCACGUGACGCGAUGUGUCAAUAAAUCGAAGCAAUCACUUCAUCAACGUGAUAAAACAAAUUGCCUUUAACUAAAACGGUCCCUUCACUCAAGCAGCUUAACAUGCACUGAAAACAGUUACGGGGGCAAUAAGCUUUUUUUUCUGCAAUAAUUAAAUGCAAAGUUUGAGCUGCUAUUGUCAGCCAACUGUUAUGCAUGUGGUGCCUCAGUACGCAAUGAAUAAAAUUGACAUUGCGAAGAUAUCGCGACAACUACACUACUAGUAAUAAUCUUGGCAGAUGUGCCGUCUUGACAGUCGUAUAUUCCAUGCUACCAACCUCGAAGUUGCUGAGACGCACCGACAUUCAUUAGUAGUUGCAGGCACAUUCACAUGCAAAACAACUUUCACAGUUAGGGUAUGGAACCCACUCUUUGGCAACUUUUGAUGUUCAGUAAUGAGUUAACGACUUCAACGGGGACAGCAUUCAAUGACCUACUCAAACUGCAUGUGUGACACUAGAGUGAAGAUAAUAAAGCGAGAGAGACAGAGUAGCAUUGAAGGAAUAAAUUUAUGUA
Dermacentor silvarum is the source of this 9338-nucleotide long non-coding RNA. RefSeq lists it as uncharacterized. The record is from RefSeq and is a predicted model, not a curated record. NCBI's taxonomy places the organism in Eukaryota, Metazoa, Arthropoda, Arachnida, Ixodida, Ixodidae. The transcript has 2 exons.